Long non-coding RNA from Anas platyrhynchos (mallard), 852 nucleotides. RefSeq lists it as uncharacterized. The record is from RefSeq and is a predicted model, not a curated record. Lineage: Eukaryota; Metazoa; Chordata; Aves; Anseriformes; Anatidae.
CCUGUAAAACAUAUACCCACAGCAAGUCAUGAACACUCACGUACAGAGGCAGAAGCACACAUUUUGGUCUACGCAAGAAUGAAAAAAAACACAUUCUGCUCUACCACAAGUCUGAGUUUCAAUAGUCCCAGACAUCACUUCCAUUGCCUAAGAGCAAGGAUAGAGGAAGCGACGUCUUAAGGAGGCUGUUGAGUGUCCAGCAGUAAAGGCAUUUAACACCAAACUGAGCAAGAGUUUGUUGUGCCUCAAACUGCAUCCAGUGUUCAAAGUGAGGCUGCACCAGCACAGAGCAAAGCAGGGCAAUCCCUUCCUUUGACCAGCUGGAAGUGCUGGGCCUGAUGCAGAAGGAUAACAAUUUGCAUGUGCUGAGAGCCUUACACUGGAAGUUUAAAGUGAUUCAGAGCAGGAAAGAUAGUUCCCUCAAUAAUCUGCCCUGCCACAGCUAAAUUGUUCAGCAUAAAAUAAGGAGAAAACAUGAUCAUCUUUUACAGAGUAAAUCAACCUUAAUCGUCUUGCAACAGAAACUGCUGCUAACAGCCUUUUUAAAUUCCACGAGCCAACAGAAAAAGCAUAUGGAGAAGAAACCACGGAGAGGCCCCUGGUGGAGCAGGCUGUCCCCCUGCAGCCCAUGGGUCCCCCAUGGAGCAGAUCUCGAGGAGCCCAUGGUAGAGCACCAGAGAGAAACUGCUGUGACCUGGCCACAACUCACAUUCUCCAUACAUCUGCACUGCUUGGCAUGGGAGAGGAGGCAGAAAAAUGAAGCUGAGCCUAGCACGAAGCAGGACUGGGGGGAUGACGGGUUUAGUUUUGUUUCUCACCAUCCUAUUCUGUAAAUAAACUGAUCGUCCCCAA